UUUAAACAGGAUGAAUGACAUGGAGCCU
RNAcentral lists this non-coding RNA (28 nucleotides) under Mus musculus (house mouse). The record is from RNAcentral. Lineage: Eukaryota; Metazoa; Chordata; Mammalia; Rodentia; Muridae.